GACGAACGCUGGCGGCGUGCCUAACACAUGCAAGUCGAGCGGAGAUUGCAGCAAUGUAAUCUUAGCGGCGGACGGGUGAGUAACGCGUGGGCAACCUACCUUCCACUGGGGGAUAACACAGGGAAACUUGUGCUAAUACCGCAUAACAUGGUGAAGAGACAUCUCUUUAUCAUCAAAGGAGUAAUCCGGUAGAAGAUGGGCCCGCGUCCGAUUAGCUAGUUGGUGAUGUAACGGACCACCAAGGCGACGAUCGGUAGCCGAACUGAGAGGUUGAUCGGCCACAUUGGGACUGAGACACGGCCCAGACUCCUACGGGAGGCAG
This 322-nucleotide ribosomal RNA is filed under the name uncultured Bacillota bacterium. RNAcentral's name for it is "bacterial SSU rRNA". It matches the Rfam family "Bacterial small subunit ribosomal RNA", at positions 28 to 351 of the family's 1533-position model. The record is from RNAcentral. Lineage: Bacteria; Bacillati; Bacillota.